GACGAACGCUGGCGGCGUGCUUAACACAUGCAAGUCGAACGGAAAGGCCCUGCUUUUGUGGGGUGCUCGAGUGGCGAACGGGUGAGUAACACGUGAGUAACCUGCCCUUGACUUUGGGAUAACUUCAGGAAACUGGGGCUAAUCCCGGAUAGGAGCUCCUGCUGCAUGGUGGGGGUUGGAAAGUUUCGGCGGUUGGGGUUGGACUCGCGGCUUAUCAGCUAGUUGGUGGGGUAGUGGCUUACCAAGGCUUUGACGGGUAGCCGGCCUGAGAGGGUGACCGGCCACAUUGGGACUGAGAUACGGCCCAGACUCCUACGGGAGGCAGCAGUGGGGAAUAUUGCACAAUGGGCGGAAGCCUGAUGCAGCAACGCCGCGUGCGGGAUGACGGCCUUCGGGUUGUAAACCGCUUUCGCCUGUGACGAAGCGUGAGUGACGGUAAUGGGUAAAGAAGCACCGGCUAACUACGUG
This 468-nucleotide ribosomal RNA is filed under the name uncultured bacterium. RNAcentral describes it as "partial 16S ribosomal RNA". It matches the Rfam family "Bacterial small subunit ribosomal RNA", at positions 28 to 507 of the family's 1533-position model. The record is from RNAcentral.